GGACAAUGAACAUUUCAUGGCUGUUAAGUGGGGGUUUGCUUUGUGCAGUGGUGGGAGAUCUUGAAGGUAAAAGUCACCACUUUAGCAUCUCCCAAUUUACAAGUAAAGGAAAAGUCAAAAAGAGAGAAAACCCAUUUAUCUUUAUGUCAUCUCAAUUUUCUUUGAAGAAUUUCGGCCCAGUAAAAUGAAAAGAUGUUUGCCAUCAAAGGUCAGUUUCUUCUCUUUUUUUCUCCUCAUAGUUUGGGGAAAUGACUAGUGCCAGGGCGGGGCAGGGGAGGCACAAGAUUGUUGAAGGGGAAAUGAAUGCCCGUAAUGCCACCAUGUAUGAGGCCAAUGUAACUGCUAGGGAGGCAGGCUUGCCAUGGGGCAGAGCACUAAAUCAUCUACCCAGGGUAGGACUCAUUUGAGCACACUUUGCUCUGAGCACCGUUGCUUAGUUUUUGUUUUGUUUUGUUUAGCUGUGUCUUUCCUGAUUUCUCUCAAGUCUGAACAAGAAAGAUCAACUACAUUCAAGAAGUGGGCAUGCAAACAGGGCAGAUGGCUUCCAGGCAGCCACAGGAUGUGCACCUCUGAACAGGCGGGCAAGCACAGGCACAUUUGCCCACCUUCCUCCAACAGCGCUGGCCUUAUUUCCAUAAUGCUGCGGAGAGCAAGGGCAACAGAAGUCUUCAGAAAGACCGCUAAACGUCAUUACAUGGAGGGCUAUGAAGAUUCUACUACUGUCACGAGGAACAAAAACCUUGAUCGUAGCAUUACUGCCUCUACAGGAUGGAUUUAAACCCAAGCGCUGUUGGCAGGCUCCUGCCGAGGUCCCCCCUCCCCGCCUCCUGACAGCUGAAGAAAUUCGGUGGAAGGACCGAUUCAACACGUUUGGCAGAUCCAGAUGGUGGGGGGAGUAGAUGACGGGAUGGCCACAGCCUCAGAAGAGCCCUUCUACAUCAGGAACGGUUUUCCUCUUCCGCGUGGAUAAGAAACAACAUUCCAGAAGGAGGAGGGACCCAGCAGGGGAGCCCUGGAGAAACCAUGCAGGCAGAUGCAGUCCCACGCAGGGACGGAACCGAAGCCAAAGAUCAGAAGCUCCUGCUUUCAAUUUUAAACUUCUAACGGAC
Molecule: long non-coding RNA, 1109 nt
Filed under: Fukomys damarensis (Damara mole-rat)
Lineage: Eukaryota; Metazoa; Chordata; Mammalia; Rodentia; Bathyergidae
Description: lncRNA (ENSFDAG00000027097.1)
Source: RNAcentral